This 549-nucleotide ribosomal RNA is filed under the name uncultured bacterium. Its description in RNAcentral is "bacterial SSU rRNA". It matches the Rfam family "Bacterial small subunit ribosomal RNA", at positions 355 to 896 of the family's 1533-position model. The record is from RNAcentral.
UGGGGAAUAUUGGACAAUGGGCGAAAGCCUGAUCCAGCCAUGCCGCGUGUGUGAAGAAGGCCUUUUGGUUGUAAAGCGCUUUAAGUGGGGAGGAAAAGCUUAUGGUUAAUACCCAUAAGCCCUGACGUUACCCACAGAAUAAGCACCGGCUAACUCUGUGCCAGCAGCCGCGGUAAUACAGAGGGUGCAAGCGUUAAUCGGAAUUACUGGGCGUAAAGCGCGCGUAGGUGGUUAUUUAAGUCAGAUGUGAAAGCCCCGGGCUUAACCUGGGAACUGCAUCUGAUACUGGAUAACUAGAGUAGGUGAGAGGGGAGUAGAAUUCCAGGUGUAGCGGUGAAAUGCGUAGAGAUCUGGAGGAAUACCGAUGGCGAAGGCAGCUCCCUGGCAUCAUACUGACACUGAGGUGCGAAAGCGUGGGUAGCAAACAGGAUUAGAUACCCUGGUAGUCCACGCCGUAAACGAUGUCUACCAGUCGUUGGGUCUUUUAAAGACUUAGUGACGCAGUUAACGCAAUAAGUAGACCGCCUGGGGAGUACGGCCGCAAGGUUA